GGGCCCCUUUGAAUAUCGACUGUCACAAAGCCCCAUUUCUGGGCAUAGUUACUUAGCAUCCACAAUGGGCUGUGUGGGACCAGCUGUGCAGGCUCAGGAGCCCCACAGAUGAGCAAGACCCAAGCCUGUCCCCCAAGAACUCACAAUCUCAUGGAUUGAAGGCAUGAGGAAUAGGAGGAGUAGACAGACAGGGUCACCUUCCAUCCAGCCUGAAACGUGCCCUGAAGAGGCAAGUCCAUUCGACUGGAGGCACAGAGGAGAUGAUGUCUCCACUUGAGAGUUUAGGGAAGAAGGGGAGCCUGGCGUUGCCACUGCCAGGAUAUACCAGAGGCAGGGCUGUUUUAACCCCAGGAAAGAGCACAUACAAGUUCAUCCACAGAGACAUAGCCCAGGCUUCUUUCUGGGGGAAUUCAAAUAAGUUUGAGAUCAUUGUGGAAGUCCUGACAAUGCCGUGGCCCUCUUCUCAGGAAUCAAGGAUCCAACUUGAGCAUCACCCGGCUGGACUGUCCUGUUCUUGCAAUCCUUCCAGGAAUAGAUUGGCUCAUGACCCAACACUGAGGAGGUCCCUUGUACUGAUGAGACAAGAUUAUGAGAAAAUGGGUUUAAUUUAAAGAAAAUGUUGAUAAGCGUAACAAACAUUCACUCUGCAGAUUACAUAUCAAUGUUAAAGAGUCACCAAAACCUCUA
Long non-coding RNA from Panthera uncia (snow leopard), 687 nucleotides. RefSeq lists it as uncharacterized. The record is from RefSeq and is a predicted model, not a curated record. Lineage: Eukaryota; Metazoa; Chordata; Mammalia; Carnivora; Felidae. The transcript is spliced from 2 exons.